GUGGGGUACCGGCCCUGUGGGUGCUGGGGGGCGCUGGCGGCGCCAGCCCUCCGGGGUCGCCGCCGACGCCCCGCUAGCGACUCCCGGGCCGCCACCGGCCGGCCUUCGGGGCAGGGCUCCAGCGACGCCUGUGAGGGCCGUAGAAGUCUUGUCAGGGAGGGAUCCGGGGGGUCCUGUGCCUGUGCCCGGCGUGUCCCCGCACCUCUGAGUGCUGGGGCAGAAAGCUCGACGGUGGAGAAGUGUGAAGGUGUGUGGCGGCCACAGACGAUGAGCAGCCAGCUCCCACUGCGUGAACGCAUCUUGUUAUGAAGCAGGAAGCCCAGACCUGAAUAAUAGGAAGGAACUCUUUCAUUAAGAGUUUUUGAUGAUAACUGUGUGACGCUGCUUUGGUUAAGCUGAAAUGUUACAACGUGUUAGAGAAAAUCCUGGAGGGAUGGAUAAAUAGUCAAAGCUACAUGUUGAAGCACUGAUGCUGUGGGCAGGCGCUGGGGAAGUCCGAGACUGGACUAACUGGCAAGCAAGAGCUUGAUUCAGGAGUUGGAUUCUUGAGCUGGAUUCAGGAACACACAGAUCAAAACCAAAAGCAGAACAGACAGAGUCCUCCUCAGAUGCCAGCCACUGAAGAAGAGAACUUGAUUCUCAUCAUCCCUUAGCUUUAUACUGACUAUGAGGAAUAUAUUCCCAAGUCUGUUUAAAAAAAGCAAAUGAGCUGCCCCUCCUUGCUUGCUUUGGACAAGAGAUUAAAGAGGUUACACCUCCCAUAAAACACCCUGGAUGACUGACACCAACUUGCUUUAUCUCUAUGAAGUAAGAAAUGGCUUUUACUUCUGAUUGGUGAGAAGCUGGCUCAGAAAAAGUCUAGGAGAUAAAGAGACCUUGUUCCCCCUCCUUUGUUUGCCACAGCCAUGUUGUGUGGCUCAGAGCAAAUUGCUUGUGUGCAUGGCUGACAUGUACUUCGGUCAGCGUGUUCAUGAAGGUGCAAGGUGUAAUUAGUGUUCAUCUAGGUGGCAUUCACCUCCAAUCACUUAUGCUUUAGUCAAGAAUGAGUAAAUUAUAUGCUGUGUGUAAUGUGUCAUAUUUUUAUUCCAAAGCAUAAUAUUAUUUUAUGAGCUGUGUUUUAUUACAGAGCACUGGGUAUGGAUUUAGUCCCACAUAUCUGGGAAAUGAGAAAUCAAAUUCUAUUGUUUGGGGAUCACUGGCCAUGAAAUAUUUACCUUUGGUGGCAUGUUUUAAAUAAAGAAAUACCAUCAAAAUUCAUAAUAUCCAGUGGAUCAAGCAGCACAUGCUUAUUAUAUAUAAUGUUAUAUCUAUUGUUUGGGAAUGUCUCGUGGAACCAACAGAGCUUUUUCUCACAGGUAGGAAGAGUCACGCAGCAAAAGGAGCCAUGUCAAAAUGCAUCCACUUACAGACUUGGAUAUUAGACAGAGCUGCAAAGUCAGUUACUGCCUAAGGCCUUCUUCCUGCCAGCAUUAGCUGUGGCUAUAAUGUGUGCCUCAGGAGUGCACUCCAGUUCUCUUAGUGCUUGUGCCCUGUCUACAUCCAGAAUUGGGAUGACAUAUGAAUUCCUACCAUUUAUUCAAGCUCUACCCUACCCAGUUUCCAUGCAGGGAAACUGUAUCCAGAAAGGGAGCAAUGAGAGAUUCUGUCAAGUCCACUCCUGUGGGAAUGCAAAGUGAAGAAGGAUAAUAACAGGCAGAUGCUGACCUUGGUUCCCACCAGCUGCUGGCUACCUUAUCUCAGAAAGGUUAGAUAACGGACACCUCAUUAAUGAGGAAAGCAAGGCAUGGUUUAUGCUGAUGGAGUGGCUUGGCCUUGACUAAUUAUGCUAAUGUGUGGGCAUGUGCCUUGUGGUCCUGAGGGUAUAUAUUGAG
This is a long non-coding RNA of Pogoniulus pusillus (Red-fronted tinkerbird), 1871 nucleotides long. RefSeq lists it as uncharacterized. NCBI's taxonomy places the organism in Eukaryota, Metazoa, Chordata, Aves, Piciformes, Lybiidae. The record is from RefSeq and is a predicted model, not a curated record. The transcript has 5 exons.